RNA transcript from Cydia strobilella, 7960 nucleotides. It is a transcript of the gene named sodium-dependent neutral amino acid transporter B(0)AT3, with no coding region annotated. The record is from RefSeq and is a predicted model, not a curated record. The transcript has 13 exons. Lineage: Eukaryota; Metazoa; Arthropoda; Insecta; Lepidoptera; Tortricidae.
CCGCCGGCUGCAGUCCACUUGCGAAUGUUCGCGCCGCGCCGCGUAUGACGAAUGAAAUUUCGAAAAUCGAACGGCGAAAAAAAGUGCAAGUGCCAGUGACUAUUUCUAAACACCUUAAACCGAAAAAGUUCCUGACAACAACACUAUAGAAUUAGCGAAAAUGUCAAAGUUAAAACCAUAGACUAAUACAUAGACAAUAAACCGGAAACAUAUGCCCUUUGCCUAGUUAAGUGGAUAAAAAAUCCACUCAUAUGCACAGAGAGGCCUCCCACGUCUUCGGGGAUUCUCUCAAACUACGUCUAAAACUACUACAACGGACGACCACGUACUUUAAAGUGGUAGAAUUCGUCAAAAAAGAUGCCAUCCGAUUCUUCACUUACGACUACGAGAUACACCAAUUGAUAUGAAUAUAUUUAUAGUGAACGGCUAUCAUUCAAAGAAUCUUGUUAAGCUGAAACUCAUUUGAUUCUCUGACAAUAAUAUUGACUUUAUAAUUUUAAGCAAUCUUUACAAUAUAAAAAUAUAGAAAUCAAAGAUGGCGGUGAAAGCGGAGCCGAUAGGUCCGAGAAAUGGGCAUGAGUUGGCGCCUUUGAAUACGAGGGCAGAUGGAAGCGAGCGGCCUCAUGGGGUGACCAUUGUCCUGCAGGGCUCCAGGGGGUCACUGCAGAGGGUCCCGGAAGGGCCAGGGGAGGAUAGAGCAGCCUGGUCUGGAAAGUUGCAGUUCUUUUUGUCCAUUAUUGGGUAUUCGGUGGGAUUGGGGAAUAUAUGGAGGUUCCCGUAUCUGUGCCAGCAGAAUGGAGGAGGUGCCUUCCUCAUUCCGUUCCUCAUCAUGCUGGUGCUGGAAGGCAUCCCCCUCUUCCUCAUCGAGAUGGCCAUCGGGCAGAAGAUGCGUCUCGGCUCCCUGGGGGUGUGGAACACCAUCCACCCCUGGCUGGGCGGGAUCGGUAUCUCCUCCUGUAUAGUCACGCUGUUCGUGGCGCUUUACUACAACGUCAUUAUCACUUGGGUGUUCUUCUACCUGUUCAACAGUGUUAGGAUCAACCUCCCCUGGGCCACCUGUCCCUCCGACAACAGCAGCGCCCAGAUCGAGUGCAACAAGGCUUCAGCCACCGCCUACUUCUGGUACCGAUCAGCCCUGGACGCGUCUCCAAGCAUCGAGGAGCCAGGCGCGCCGAAAUGGUGGAUCGUACUGUGUCUGCUGCUGGCCUGGAUUGUCGUGUUCUUUAUUGUGAUGAAGGGGAUACAGAGCAGCGGGAAGGUGGUGUACUUCACGUCGCUGUUCCCGUACGUGGUGCUGACCAUAUUCUUCAUCAGAGGGAUCACGCUGCCGGGGUCUGCCGACGGCAUCGUGCACAUGUAUAGCCCUAAGCUGGAGAUGCUCCUCGAGCCCACCGUGUGGCUGGACGCGGCCACGCAAGUGUUCUACUCCUUUGGUCUCGCGUUCGGGUCUCUGAUCGCUUUCGGCUCCUACAACCCGCCCGACAACAACUGCGUGCGCGACGUGCUGCUCGUGUCCGUCUGCAAUGCCCUUACCGCUAUAUACGCGUCCGUCGUUAUAUUUAGUAUACUUGGGUUCAAGGCGUAUACUAUGGCGGAGAGGUGCAUUGCUAGCUCCAUUGAGAUCUUGGCACACAACAACGUCCCCGGAUUCUACCCUAACACCACCUUCGAUUACUACAGAGAGCAUUACCCCGAUCUGGUGAAGGAGAACAUCACGAGCCGACUCAAUUUGUCGGAUUGCAGCAUGAGCAAGCAGCUUAAUGAGGCGGCCGAAGGUACAGGCCUAGCUUUCAUCGUGUUCACCCAAGCCAUCGUAGAACUGCCCUUCGCUCCGUUCUGGUCCAUCAUCUUCUUCUUGAUGCUGCUGUCCCUGGGCCUGGGCAGCCAGAUCGGCAUCAUGGAGGGCAUGCUCUGCACCAUAUUUGAUAUUGAGUUCUUUAAGAGGAUCAGCAAGCCGAUUAUCACUGGUAUCUUAUGUAUUUUCUGCUUCAUAACUGGGCUGAUCUUCACGACUGGCGCGGGCGAGUACUGGCUCAAGAUGUUUGACUCGUUCGCCGGCACCAUCGGCCUGGUGGUGGUCGCGCUUUUGGAGAUGGUCUCUGUCAUUUACAUCUAUGGCCAUGAGAAGUUCUCAAACGACAUCUACGAGAUGACGGGCUAUCGCCCCGGGCUCUACUGGCAGCUCACGUGGCGCUACAUCGGGCCCUGCGUCGUCUCUUGCAUCCUAGUGUCAUCAAUCAUUUCUAUGAUCUAUUCGCCUCCCACUUACGGGGCUUGGAAUGCUGACGAGGGCCGCGUGGUGAAGACUCCAUACCCUGACUGGGUGCUCCUCAUCGCCCUCUGCAUGAUCCUGGCCGGCAUCCUGCCCAUCCCUGUGGUGCUGUUGCUGCGCCGCUUCCAAUGCCUCGCUUUCGACGUGGACAUCCACCAGGGCAGCAUCAGGAGAAUCGAGACCACCGUGUCGACUAAGGAGAUGAUGAGUGAUCAGGAUUCCUCAGACGAAGCCAUCGACGACCACUAUUCGUCCAGCAGCGACGAAGAAGUACUCAACGCGGGCCGACUCGCCAUGCGACCGGUUUUCAAGAUGGACGUCGUCGAGCCGCUGGGAGUUUGAAAAUCGAAUUCGAUUAAUUUGAUCUAUCCCAGGUAGCAUUUAUACGUCAUUAUGACUUUGCUGACGUCACUGCUACCUGGGAUGGGCUCUAUAAACCUCGCCAAAAUCGCAACCUUUUGAUACAUUGUGGUUUUUGAUCGAUUGAUACAAUUUGUUGACUUCGGCUUUCGGCAACGUAUCAAGAUUCGCAUGCAAUUGGUGACGCCUGUAGAGUCAAUUACUUUCUAAGAAGUUUGGUUAUUUUGUAAUGCGUACCACCAAAUUAAAUAAUAAGUUUAAUUAAUUAUUAAUUAAUUAAUUUGCGUUGCAAAUUGACAGGUUGCUAAAAAAAUGUUUAUUUGGUUACAGAAUAUCACAGUUCAUGAAAAGCUAUGAUGCUCAUAACUUGAUUUGGUAUCCCACUAGCAUUUGGGGGAUUAACACUUUCACCGCUGAGCUACAGUCGCAGCCAAUAACAUGGGUUUCCCGGUAUGUAGCGAUAAUGCUUCGUAGAGGCAAAACGACAACGUGUCGUGACUAGCGCUGAAUGGGUUAACAUCAUUCCGGUUAAGUAUUUAAGUUGUUUAUUUCUGAUUUAAAUAACAUAAUCUCGUAAUUAUGCAUAGUAAGCGACGACCAGGCCUGUCAAUUUUAAUAUUUGAAGUUGAGUUUACAUUUUCAUAAAUCAAUUGAUAUUUCGACGUUAUUUUACGAUAUUUUUAUGUUAGUUGUAAGAGUAAGUCAAGCCACAGACGGAUCAAUAAUACUCGCACAAUAUGCUCCGUAUCUUAAAUCUCAAAAAAUUAAGAGUGAUACGAAUCUAGCCGCCGGCAAACAAUCGGAGCCACGGUCUCAUUUUAAAAAUACAUGCUUUACACAUUCACUGCCAACGUUUUCGUAGCGCUACGCUCGUAGCCGAUCCCAGCGUUGUCCCGCUUUUUAGUUUAGAGGAAAGCGAUUACAAACUGAAAACCCGCCGAAUGUGUUCUCGGCACUCAAUGUUUAAAUUACGUCCUUAAACUUGCCAUACACAUAUAAGUAACAUAUAUCUAUGACAUAUAUAUGAGUAUGAUAUUUGAUACUAGUUUUCGUUGCUAAAAAUUGUUAUACAAAGAAAAUAGGGAGUGGAAGUUUUACAUAGAAAAACAUAUCUUUCAUUUCAGUACACUAUUACUAGAUAUAUAUAUAAAAGAUUCAUGUCAAAUUACAUGUUAUUACAGAAUAUCGUAUUAAAAUGAGAGCAAACCCGGUCAAUUCUAAUAACGUGAUAAUUACUAGAUGCGAGAACAAUACGUGAUCUAAUAGAUACGUUAUAGUUUAGUUCUCAACUAGUUAUCUUUUGCAGUUCGAUUCGAGACACUAAUUGUCAUUUCGCUAUAAUUAUUGUGACGUUUUGGAUAUCCAUUAGAUAUCCAUUGGAUGUCUAAGUAAUAUUUUAAGCAAAUCUUAAAGAGAUCGUUCAAGCGGACAUUCGGAAUCGCGGAAAUGUCAAAUUUGACAUGACUUUCUUAAAUAUCUCGUUAUCGUUUCUGUUUCAUAUCUAGUGGAUAUCUAGAUCAUUGUUCGAAUUGGCCCGUUUCUAUUGAAUGGCGAUGGCUUAGUUCGUGUGGCUAUUAACCUCAAGAAAUUGUGGUAAAAUUAUUAGAUAAUGUGCGCGUAUCAAAUUGAUCGUCUGUUAGGCUGCUUAAGUGUUCGCAACGCGAAGAAUCUCAGUGAAUAUGCCAAUGGUUCUAAACUAAGUCGUUGAUAAUUAGAGAAUUGUUAAAUUGAUGUGCACACAGGGUUGGCAUAGAGGAUUUUGAAAAUGGAGCCUGUUCUAAACUAAGGUGUAUUCGAAUUUUUAAAAUGCACUGUAAUUUUUGAUGAUAUGCGAGUAAUAUCAUAUCAAGUUGGCAUUUUAAGAAACUGAAUAGGCCUCAUUCAUAUUUAUGAAUUGCAGUCAAUAGCUGAUCACUUUGCAAUAUAAACUACAAAAGCAUUUUAAAGGCCGGGGCAACCAAAGACUAACAAAAAUGAAUUGAUUGGCAAGCUAUUUUUGGGCAACCUGUAUAGUGUAGAUAUUUUUGGCAACUGUAUUUUAUGCGUCUAAAUUAAGAAUAAAAAUACUAAUAUAAUCAUGCACUAAAUCCAUCAGACAAGGAUUCGAAAAUGUAAAAAUUAUAAUAAAGGGCACGAAGUUAAUAUUUAUAAAGCUAAUGAGAUUUAUAGUUGCAUUACCUAAUUCAUAAGAACUGAUUUUUGACAUAAAUAAAUUAUAACAUUUAAAACCUACGCGGUUUGAACUCAUAUUAAACGUCGUAAAUAAAGGUCGGUAAAUAAAGGCAACAAAAUAAAUUCGCGAUAGACCCGAUUAAAAAUGUGGUUUAAUAAAUAAACUAACCCAUAAAUAUAAAGCUAAAACCUACUGCUUAGCUGACAGCUGUGAAGCUAUCGUAUUAAGUUCAAGUUCAUUAUUUAUGAAUAUAUUAUAAAGGUCAAUUUAUAACAGUCAAAAAUCAGCUCCAUCUUUCAUCAUCAUUUUGAGACCGGCUGAAUUUUAAAUUCGAUUUACAUCAUAUUAUUUAAAAAAAUACUCGAUAAAAUAGUAAGGAUAUCAACCUCUGUGUGCACCUAGCCUUGUUAGGUCUAUUAGGCUCUAAACUUAAUACUUAGCGUUAACUUAGCGGCAUACCGCACUGACUUAGAUCAGUUCAUUUAACAAUAUAGGUACAUCACUUUCGGACAAAAGUCGCUGGCAAUAUAGUAGUUUUUUUCUCAUUCUUGUAAAAUUAUUAAGGUACAUAUUAUAGAUACCUAGUAUUUCAUAAAGUAUUUUUAAAGACACAACGUUGGAAAUAUCAAAUAUCCAGUUCAAGUUUCACUCAAGGUGGUGUUUACAUAUUUUUUGGAAAUUAAGAAAAACCUAAUUCUACACUACUUCAUGUAUUUUCUUUUAUGUCCCAGAUCUAAAGCUGCAGGCAACCCGGUAUAGUUUUUUUUUCACAAAUACAUGUUAAUAAAAAUUGUAUUUGGAAGUAAUAAUCUAAUUCUUAAGGAUCGUUGCAUAUGUAUUUAAAAUCGACAUGUUUAAACAUAUUAAUAACAUGUCGCUCACGUAUUUUAAGUCGAAAACGCUCGACAUGUUUCACUCCGUACCGAGGAGGUCAUCAGGAGCUUGCGUCGACGGUGACGGACCGGCGCAUACAUGUUUAAAGAAAUAUAGCUACUAUUAUUGCCAGCGAACAUUUGUUUGUUAUACAUGAUUAAUUGAUUAUAAUAUAUCGAAACAAGACAGGAAUAGUACGUUACCUUCGCAUUUUAGUCUAGGUAUCCUAGGUUAAGGAAGCCAUGCUAGUUCGUUAGUUUAGGUAGAUUAGCGUAGAACGCACAUGUUGUUCUGGGGAGGCAGGCUGGGCAGGAGAUGUAGGAAAAGUUAGGAAAGUAAGGGUAAAAUGUGAUUUAAAAAAAACUAUCAAAAAAUAUAUGACUAGAGGCACAAUGCCAAAAAAGAAAAAUAAAUUAUAGUAAAUUAAUCAUCGACUAUUACUUACCGGUCAUCCUGUAUGAAAAUAGAUCAUUCAUUUAAUUCUAAAUAUUUUGAUUAUCUCUAACUUAAAUUAUAAACAAAUAUUUUUAUUCAAAUGUUAAGUAUUUAAACUCAGUGCUACAUAAAUUAUAAAAUUUACGACUCCAUAGUAAAUUGAGUAAGAGCGUGCGACUUGCAAUCCGGAGGUCGCGGGUUUAAACCCCGGCUCGUACCAAUGAGUUUUCGGAACUUAUGUACGAAAUAUCAUUUGAUAUCAGUCGCUUUUCGGUGAAGAAAAACACCGGGAAGGAACCGGACUAAUCCCAAAAAGGCCUAGUUUACCCUCUGGGUUUAACGGUCAGAUGGCAGUCGCUUUCGUAAAUACUAGUGCCUAUGCCAAUUCUUGGGAUUAGUUGCCAAGCGGACCCCAGGCUCCCAUGAGCCGUGGCAAAAGCCAGGACAACGCGAGGAAGAUGAUGACAGUAAACUGAGUAAAUUAUUUUUGAUGUUUUUAAUGGUAACAUCUGAUAUCAUUAGCCAACCUAAGAACCUUAAUUAAAAAUCAUUACACAAAAUGUCAAAUUUAAUAUCGUGUUCAUUAAAAAGAAGCUCAUUAGUAUUAAAAUCGAUGUAAUAUUGCAUGUUAGUAUAGUUUGAGUCCAGUCUGCCCCUCCAGUUACGGAAUGCCGUAAAAAAUAAGAAAAAAUCGUUUUAGCUAUUCGGGUCUUCCUCUAAGGGGGACGUUCCAAAACAGGUGUUACCAGCUUAAAUAUAUUUAUUAAGUGACGCAACGUUCCAAAGAUGUAAAUAAGUUGAGAUUCUAAACAAAUUAUUCAAAUUUGAAGAUAUUUUAAUGUUUAUUAGCAUAUUUUUCAUUUAAAAUUUUGACAUAAAAUAGUACAUAUUUUUAAAUUAAAUUUUAGUACAUACUGAAUUUCAAGACCGUUGUAAUUCUAUUUUUAUUCGAAUUAUUAUGUAAUUUAAGAUGUGAGCACUUCAAAAAUGUUACUUAAAUGUUCUUAGUGUUAUUUUUAUCUUAAAAUAAUUAUGGUUAAGUAUUAAAGUCGAAAACAGUUACGAAUCAAUUAGUAUUAUAUGUUUUUGAUAGUUAUUGACUAAAGGCGAGGCACGCACGACAAAUUUCUUUCAAUUAUUGUUUAUUAUGUACCUUUAGAACAUAUUUUUCUGUUUAUCUCUAUAUCUCUUUCAGUUAAAAUAAUGACGCUCUACAGAUUGUAUUGACUUUAACGUUUACACAUAUUAUUUAUGUGUGUGUAUUAUGAUUAUGUACUCGUAUUUUUCAAAUAAAAUUCAUUUAAUAGUUAUUUACGAUACAAGUGCGGAAAAGAGGAAAGUCGAAACGAGCGGCGAUAAAUUAAAACACGACCGCAGGGUGUUUUAAAUCGACACGAGUUGCGAAUUACCUAUUCGCACGUGUAUCGUACAACGUUUUACAGUACAUAUGGCCCUUUAAACUUUCGAAAUAUGCACGAAAAGUGCUAUUUGACGCACUAGUGCGAGAAAGUAGCACCAUAUGUACUGUAAAUAUCUUUUAUCUAACAGGAUACUUUCCUAACUAUCAAUGCGUGGUAACUACUAUACCAUACUAUUAGCUUUAGAAUUUCAAAAUAUUUACUUAUGAGAUACUUUUUAAUUUAAAAUAGUUUGCUCUUAAAUGUGUUUUACAUCCACAGCUAUACCCCAAUUUAUUUGCCACCUGUAUUAUACAGGAUGGGUUGUGCGCGCCUCGCCUCUCUCUUGUUCGAGUAGAUAGCUUCGGGAACCUCCCGCUAGUUGUAUUUAGUAACCGAUGAUAUUAAUAUUGUAAUUACAUUUUGAAAUGCAGAAUAAAUUAUUGCCAC